ACAGCUAGGAUGUUGGCUUGGAAGCAGCCAUUCAUUUAAAGAGUGCGUAACAGCUCACUAGUCGAGCGACCGUGCAUGGAUAAUAAUCGGGCAUCAAGCAUACUACCGAAGCUAUGGAAUGAUACUUAGGUAUCAUUGGUAGGGGAGCAUUCCAGUCAGCGUCGAAGCAGUAUCGUGAGGUAUUGUGGAGCGUCUGGAAAAGCAAAUGUAGGCAUAAGUAACGAUAAUGGGGGUGAGAAACCCCCACGCCGAAAGACCAAGGAUUCCUGAUCAACGUUAAUCGGAUCAGGGUUAGUCGGGCCCUAACACGUACCCGUUAGGGGAAGUGGAUGGCAAACAGGUUAAUAUUCCUGUACCCGUUAUACAACAAAAGUGACGUAUAAGAGAGAUGUCUGGGUGCUGACGGAAUAGCACGCUGAGCUUAGGUUUCGGCCGAAGCGAAGGCAAGCAUCUUGUACCGAGAAAAGCGAGUAUAACGGCUCGUACCGUAAACGGACACACGUAGUUGGGUUGAGUAUACUAAGGCGCUCGAGUGAUCCACGGCUAAGGAACUCGGCAAAUUAACCCUGUAACUUCGGGAGAAAGGGUUCCUGUUAAGCGAUUGACAGGACGCAGAGAAAUGGCCCAGGCGACUGUUUAACAAAAACACAUGGCUAUGCAAAAUCGAAAGAUUAAGUAUAUGGCCUGACACCUGCCCGGUGCUGGAAGGUUAAGAGGAGAUGUCAGGAGCAAUCCAAAGCAUUGAAUUGAAGCCCCAGUAAACGGCGGCCGUAACUAUAACGGUCCUAAGGUAGCGAAAUUCCUUGUCGGGUAAGUUCCGACCUGCACGAAUGGUGUAACGAUCUGGGCACUGUCUCAGCCGUGAGCUCGGUGAAAUUGUAAUACCGGUGAAGAUGCCGGUUACCCGCAACGGGACGGAAAGACCCCGUGAACCUUUACUGCAACUUAGCAUUGAUUUUGGGUAAGUUAUGUGUAGGAUAGGCCGGAGACUAUGAAGUGGUGCCGCCAGGUAUCAUGGAGUCGCCGUUGAAAUACGGCCCUUGACUUGCCUGAAGUCUAAUCCCUCAGAGAGAGGGAGACAUUGCUUGGUGGGUAGUUUGACUGGGGUGGUCGCCUCCAAAAGAGUAACGGAGGCUCCCAAAGGUACCCUCAUGACGUUUGGCAAUCGUCAGUAGAGUGUAAUGGCACAAGGGUGCUUGACUGUGAGACCGACAAGUCGAACAGGUAGGAAACUAGGGCAUAGUGAUCCGGUGGUUCCGCAUGGAAGGGCCAUCGCUCAAAGGAUAAAAGGUACUCCGGGGAUAACAGGCUGAUCGCCGCCAAGAGCUCACAUCGACGCGGCGGUUUGGCACCUCGAUGUCGGCUCGUCACAUCCUGGGGCUGGAGAAGGUCCCAAGGGUUCGGCUGUUCGCCGAUUAAAGUGGCACGCGAGCUGGGUUCAGAACGUCGUGAGACAGUUCGGUCCCUAUCUGUUGUGGGCGCAGGAGAUUUGAGAGACCCUGUCAUUAGUACGAGAGGACCGUGAUGGACAAACCUCUGGUGUAUCAGUUGUACCGCCAGGUGCAGCGCUGAGUAGCUAUGUUUGGAAGGGAUAAGUGCUGAAAGCAUCUAAGCACGAAGCCUGUCUCAAGAUUAGAUCUCCAUAUAAGGGGCGUUAAAGACUAUGACGUUGAUAGGCUGCAGGUAUAAAGGUGGUGACAUCAAAGCCGAGCAGUACUAAUUACCCGAAACUUUCAGAG
Molecule: ribosomal RNA, 1739 nt
Filed under: bioreactor metagenome
Description: bacterial LSU rRNA
Rfam family: Bacterial large subunit ribosomal RNA
Source: RNAcentral